RNAcentral lists this ribosomal RNA (252 nucleotides) under uncultured bacterium. RNAcentral describes it as "partial 16S ribosomal RNA". It matches the Rfam family "Bacterial small subunit ribosomal RNA", at positions 524 to 776 of the family's 1533-position model. The record is from RNAcentral.
UACGUAGGCAGCGAGCGUUGUUCGGAAUUACUGGGCGUAAAGAGUGUGUAGGCGGUGCUCUAAGUUCGGUGUGAAAUCUCCCGCUUAACUGGGAGGGUGCGCCGGAAACUGGAGUGCUCGAGCGUGGGAGAGGAAGGCGGAAUUCCUGGUGUAGCGGUGAAAUGCGUAGAUAUCAGGAGGAACACCUGCGGUGUAGACGGCUUUCUGGACCAUUGCUGACGCCGAGACACGAAAGCGUGGGUAGCAAACAGG